Molecule: RNA transcript, 3284 nt
Organism: Homo sapiens (human)
Lineage: Eukaryota; Metazoa; Chordata; Mammalia; Primates; Hominidae
Gene: H2AJ
Gene name: H2A.J histone
Exons: 2
Source: RefSeq, marked reviewed
GCAUUCCGGUACCGGACGCCGAGAGCGGUUUGUCUCCGUCUCUGGAGUUGUAGGCGAGAGGUGAUCAUGUCCGGUCGCGGGAAACAGGGCGGCAAAGUGCGAGCAAAGGCCAAAUCCCGCUCCUCCCGCGCGGGCCUGCAGUUCCCGGUGGGCCGAGUGCACAGACUGCUGCGCAAAGGGAACUACGCGGAGCGAGUGGGCGCCGGGGCGCCGGUGUACCUGGCGGCGGUGUUGGAGUACCUUACGGCGGAGAUCCUGGAGCUGGCUGGCAACGCCGCGCGUGACAACAAGAAGACCAGGAUAAUUCCCCGCCACCUGCAGCUCGCCAUCCGCAACGACGAGGAGUUAAACAAGCUGCUGGGCAAAGUGACCAUCGCUCAGGGCGGCGUCCUGCCCAACAUCCAGGCCGUGCUGCUGCCCAAGAAGACGGAGAGUCAGAAGACGAAGAGCAAAUGACCCUGACGCCGCCCUCAGGGAGCUGGCUCCCCCAGCAAAGGCCCUUUUCAUGGUCGUCCCGCAAUGCUUUUGAAUGUGCUGGAUGUCAUGGAGGGCCGGUGACAUCUAGCGGGGAGAGCCUUCGCUCUCCUGCCAGUUUGUGAGCACUCAGGACCAAGUUCUGGGAAGAUACCGUCGGAUCGAGCUGAGCUCGGGGCAGGAAGUGUCUGCGGCCAUAUUUUUCAAAAAGUGGAGUAACUUUCCGUCUUGGAAGGGUGGCUCUGAUGGCACGAUGUCAACUUGAGAUUCUUCCUAGCCUAGUAGCUGCUGUGCUUUCAUGCUUUGGAUAUCAGAUAUCUUUAUAUAGCACUUUUAUGUUCAUAUUUUUUUUUUAAUGAAGGAAACGUUCAAUAAGUGAGUCAUGAGGUUGGAAAUUCGUUCCCCUGACAGUCAUAUUGCAUAACAUUGCAGCGCCUUUAGUCGUGGGUUACAUAUGCUUGAGCUUUUAAAGUGAUGUUGUCAAGUUUCUAGCUUCAUAAUGAUCCUGUCUUCAUCAUAUCAUAUUCACUUUGAGAAUCGGUUUGACUUUGCUUUCAAACAAAACAAAAACCUCUUGCUUUUAGGGGUUCUUACCCAACAAAUAACCUGUUUGAACUCUCUUAUAUUCUCCCACUAGCCUGAAGCAAUGACCUCAUUCCAGUAAUGUCUUUGGGAGUUGCAUUGCCUAAUGGCACAAUAUUGCUUUAAUAAACAUGUAAGGAAAGAUAGGACCAAAUAUGUAAGUGCAGGGGGAAACACAUUUCAGACCAGGAAUCCACAUUGAAAAGUUAACACUAGUAAUCAUCUUCUGCCCUUAAUUGACACUCCUAUUUAUUUCAUCCUCAGCAAAUUUCAUCCUGGCUCACAGACCCCACAAAAAAGAUCCCAGUACAGAUUUCACAUCUUUGGAUUCAUCUUUCCUGUGAGUCGGAAUUGAAGUCUUCCCCAAAAAUAUAUGUAUAUAUUGUAUGUCUUCAUCCUUGGUAGCGGCUGGCCCAUUUUCCCACAUGGACUUUAUUUUGUCCCCAGUAUUUAUUGAACAGCUGUCUAUGCCAGGCUCUGUACAAAGUGAUAGGAGUAGAGCUGUGAAUGAGGCCAACCAGAUUUCCACUCUCUCGGAGCUCACUUUAUUUUUAUUGGUUCCUGAAGACGGGACAAGGAACAAAUACAUACGUUAAUAUGAGAGAUCAGCUUCUGUUAGUACUUGUACCUCUCUGCUGUGUGUGGAUGAAUGAUGGAAUUACUUCUCCCAUGUUGCCAUUUUUGAGGUGUACAAAGGUCAGGCCGUACACACCUCUGUUAGGAGGCAAAUUAUUGGGCAGGUUCGAGAUGUUCUGCUAUUUACUCUGUGGUUUUGUCAUAUGUAAAAGUCAUAACACCUGUUUUAAGGAUUGAGAUUGUUCAUUUACUGUGUGCCACAUAUUAGACAAUAAAUGGAAAAAAGUACCAUGUUCAAUGGGGGUAUGGGUUUAUCCUUAUAGGUUAAAUUAUAGGUAAACAUUAAUAGGACUUUUUAAAAAAUGCCUCAUUGUUAGAACUACUACUCACAGUUACCACUUGGGGUCAGUGGAACAAAAUGCAUAUAUGGUUUUGACAUUUGAGUCUAAAUUUCUUAAAGGGAUGAGGCAUCUGAGGGAUUGUUACCAAAAUGAUGAAGAAAUAAGGACAAGGGACAUCAAGACAUUCAUAAGAAAAAGCACCUUUGCCUUCCCCUGGGAAGAUUCACAGGAAUCUGUCCAGCUCUUGUUACAUGAUGAGCAACAUAGACAAGAUACGAGGCAUUGUAACUGCCCUGUCGCCACCCGCCUCUCCCACCACUACCCAAAGGAUUCUUAGCAUCCCCUCACAUACUCUGCCUGCCUCAACGUUCAGUCAGCCCCUCACCAUUUUUGUUUUUGAGAGUUUUUUUUUUAACCCGAAUAGUUUACGGGCUGUUUAAAAUGCAUACUCCUACAAAAUCAGCUCAGCCCAUGAUCCAUGAUGAACAAACAGUAGUUCUUGCUGAUGUGUGAUUAUGAAUUUAAAAGGCCAGUAUUUCUUUAAGCAUAAGACCAUAUGGAAAAAGGCCUAAGACAAAAUCUGAUGGGAACUGAAUUCCAGUUUUUAAUAGAGUUAUAAUCCAUAGUUUUAUUUACACACAAACACACACACACACACUCUUUCCUGCAGAGAUAAGCAAGCCGUUCAGUGUGGCUGUGGCUUGGCCAGGAUUUGUUUGAUCUUUGUUUUUCCUGCAGGGCCAGUCUUGUCUUUGUGUCCCCGAGGACUGGUCUGUUUAGUUGUGCCUGCCUGGAAUCAAAAGGCUUAGUCAGGCCCCAUAAUUGGUGAUGACUGGCAUACUAUAUGCAAACUUCACAAUGCCCCUUCCAGUGGUUGAAAGGUCGCAUACCAUGCUGUGUAAGAACUUUAGCUCUCUGCAAUGAGACUUAAAUUCAGAUUCACUCUACUCCUUAUUAGUUAUCUGAUUUUUGGAAACUUAAUCUCUUUAAACCUCAGUUUCAUCUCUAAAAUGGGCAUAAUAGUUUACCUCAUAGAGUUUGGGGAGAAUUGAGUGAAUUAAUGUGUGUGAGGACACUAAGAUUCCCAUAUAGAAAUAGGCUCAAUGAAUAGUAGCUGUUUUUAUUUCUAUGUAAAGUGAGUAGCGGUAGUUGAUGGGAGCUGUUGAAACAGGUAAACAGCAUUCUAGCAAUCCUUCGACUUUUGUGAUAGCAAACCAUAAAAACAAUUUUAGUGGCUGUUUUACUAAUUAAAGGACAUCCACAAUUCAAUGUAUAACAGAAAAAGUAAUGAUUAAAGCUUGUGAAUCUGAA